This 376-nucleotide ribosomal RNA is filed under the name uncultured Gammaproteobacteria bacterium. RNAcentral's name for it is "bacterial SSU rRNA". It matches the Rfam family "Bacterial small subunit ribosomal RNA", at positions 521 to 896 of the family's 1533-position model. The record is from RNAcentral. Lineage: Bacteria; Pseudomonadati; Pseudomonadota; Gammaproteobacteria.
UAAUACGGAGGGUGCAAGCGUUAAUCGGAAUUACUGGGCGUAAAGGGUGCGCAGGUGGCCCGAUAAGUCAGAUGUGAAAGCCCUGGGCUUAACCUGGGAACUGCAUUUGAAACUGUUGGGCUAGAGUAUGGUAGAGGGAAGUGGAAUUCCGGGUGUAGCGGUGAAAUGCGUAGAUAUCCGGAGGAACACCAGUGGCGAAGGCGACUUCCUGGACCAAUACUGACACUGAGGCACGAAAGCGUGGGUAGCAAACAGGAUUAGAUACCCUGGUAGUCCACGCUGUAAACGAUGUCAACUAGCCGUUGGGAACAUCUAGUUCUUAGUGGCGCAGCUAACGCGAUAAGUUGACCGCCUGGGGAGUACGGCCGCAAGGUUA